UUUGAGUUCCUGUCCUUACUUUCUUCAGUGGUGAAUUGUAGCAUGGGAGCAUAAACCAGGUAAACCCCUUCCUUCCCACCUGGCUUUGGUUGUGGUGUUUUAUCAUAGCGAUCGUGUCUAACUAUGACACUUGCAUCCGCCUGUGGCCUGUCCUGAUAAUAAAAUCCAGAACACCAAGUGAAACCUGAAGUUCAGUUAAACGACGAAUAAUUUUUAGUGUAAGCUUGUCGCGUGUAACACGGGAAACAUGCGAAACUAACCACACUUUACCUGGCAUCCAAAUGAAUUAGCAUCCUGUAUUUUUGACUUGCUAAUUCGGAUGAAGGUUGGCUUUAGGGAUGCUGUAGGGAACAGGAGGUAGGUUAAGCCAUUGCAGCUGCCACAAGAUAGGCUACCUUACCUCCUCCCAGCAUUCAGUGGUAGUGAGAAAUGGGGCUAAUACAGCAGCCCCAGUGGCCUCUCAUCACCUCAGAAGUGUUACUCUUUUCAUGAGUGCAUCUCAUUGUCAGGUUUUUAAGCAGAGCUUGCGGGUGGCUGGUCCUUCACUGUUCAGCAUGGAGGACCUGGCCCAGAACAGUUGUGUGGUAACCAUUUCUUAAACGAAUGGACAAGUUUUAAAGCGCACCACCCCAGAAGUGGCUGACGGUCCUUGGUGGCCGUAUUACGUCAGUGUUUGUCAGCUGCCAACACACACUCAAGACAAGUUAUAGAGAGAAGAGGUUUUCAGGCUCUAGGUCAGGAGGUUCCAUAUGAGGCAGGCAUUGAUUUUGGGCCUUUUCUAGGGGAGCCUGAAGGUGAUGGCAGGUAGUUGUGAGAAGCAACAACGUCCACCUCACGGCUAAGAUACAAAACAGAGGAAGAGGAGAGGGCUGGGGUCUUAAAUCCCCUUAAAGAACACACCCACUGUGACCUAAUAUGUCUCACUAAGAGUGACGUCAUAAAGCUUCCAUUGCUGGACGCCAAGCCUCCGGGGACUUUGGGUCAGACAUUUAUCCAAACCAUAUCAAUGUCUAUGGUCCGGUGUUGUCUAUUUCAGGUUGAGUCAGAUGUUGACAGAGUAUGAAGGCCCAUCAGGGCCAUAGAGCAGUAGAGUAGCCUUUGAGUCGGCCUCUUAGUGUGAUUCAGGUAUGGGGUAUAACCAGAACAUUUAGUCUGACUGCUGCACACGGCCUGUCUGAUAACCCCAUCCUGUCCAGCAUGGUGUCUGCACGCUGAACAUUCUUAGCAGAUGGUGGGCUCUAUGCUCAUUACUCUUAAUACGAUUUAUUACCACUGAAGGGACUCGAGGAUAAAAGGAAAACCUGCCAAUAGUGUCACUGGGGCAACAAGCCAGCAGAGCUAUUCUUGGAAAUGUGGAGCUUCGGGCAUGGGACCUUUGAGCAUGAAGCAGCAAAUGGCAAAUACAGUGCAGAUUCCCCUAGGCAGCGUGGUGCUUAGGCUCAUCCUUUACACACCAUGAUGAUGUAAUCCCACCAGCUCCGCUCGGACGCACUUCCUCCUGGAAGAACGUUUACCAGAGUCAGUCUAUGCUAAGUCUGUCACGAUCUAAUUCAGAUGAUGUUCUGCUGCGUGCGUAACUGGAACAUCCCAAGGGAAGGGUCUACGUGAUUUAAUUUUGUACUAUAGCAUCCAGCACACUUCCCGGUUUUAUGAUGUAUGUUUGUAUCAGAUAGAGUAGGCUGGGUUUUUGCCGCAGUACAAAGAUGUGCUUUCAGAUUUUGGCAGCUUAUUUUAACCAAGGGUUACUUUCUUGCCCAUGUCAUUUGUUCUCUGUUGGUCCUGAUGUUGUUUGUCCUCUGUUGGUCGGCAUAGGGAGGAGUUCACUGACUCCUCAUCUGAGACCUAGGGUGUAGGGCAAGUUUUGAACGGAAUGUUGAAAUCCUCUUGAUAGAGCCACAGUAUGGAGCCCCAGGCUGCCUCUCAAAGCUCCUCAGAACAAUUACUUCCACUUAUACCUCAUGACAAACCAAACCACGCAGUCAAGCUGACCUCCUGAGAAGAAGGGAAAUACCAUUCUCCCUCACGGAAGAAGAGAAAAGGUUUUUGAACAAGAAUACAAUCUUCUACAGUGCCCAGGUCAAGCAAAAUUCUAUGAAUUUUGUAUUUGUGAAUGCAAUGUUUGGUACCACUGCAGCAACAAUUAUAUGGAUUCAAAUGGAAUCCCAUUACAACUGCUCUUUGGAGACGCACCGCUCUCUGAAAAGGGAGUGAACCAAGCAAGCCUGAGCUAUUCUUAGUCUAGCCCUGGCUCUUAUACUCGGACUGUGUGGGACCAGAAAGACGAGCCCUUAGAGAAAGAGGAAACUACAUCCGAGAACAUGGGAUGGGCUUCUCAAAGCAAUCGAGGCCUAUUAAAACACCUUUUAAACCUAGACUUUAAACACAGGAAUUGUUGAGGGACACGUGGAGAAGAGCUGGGACCUACCCAAGCACACAUGUGUGUUUCUCAGGAAGAGUCACAAGUGGAACUGCAUAGGAUGCAUCCUUCUGAUGGCUUCUUUCGCUUGGCAACGUGUUCAGUUUCCCCUGUGUCUUCUCCUAGAUCGAACAUUCAUUUUGCUUGCUGAGUAACACCUGGGUGCAGGUACUGAAUUCCAGGUCAAGGGUUCUGCUGAAGUGGAAUUAAAAUAAAAUGUGGCUUACACAGUGUGCUGCAGGAGAUGGACUAAACACACCACGGUCCUCACAAGUGAAAGUUUAGUGAAUGACCUGCCACACGGUCUCUCAUGAAAUAUCUGGGUAGAGUUUUCUCUUAUAGGGUACCUUUUUUUUCCAUUUUGGGGAGUUUCCCCAUUGUCACAGAAAAUCCCAUUCGAGGGGUUUCGCUAAAUGUUGGACUCUAUUAGUGAAGAGAGAUCUUCCUGUUGAAACACAGGACUGGAUUUUUGAGUGGAGCAAGAGUGUCCCCUUCACAGAACAUGUUCACGAAUCAAAGCCCUGUAGGAGGAACUGGCAUUUCUUGCUAUCGCAUCGACUCCAGUGGCUGAGUCUUUGGCCUGAAAGGAUCCCUCCAUGCUAAAUGAAGAAGACCUGAUAGAGGAGAGCAAAGAAGAGAAGUGGGAAAUGGAGAGAAUUCAAAGAGCCAGUUCAGAGACUGCCGAGAGGAGAGAUCCAGCUGACUCUGGUUUUCUGUUGUUGAGAAAUAGUCACUGUCCCACAGAAGCUGCCACAGGUGUAACAAUGUGGAGAGAACUCUGUGUGUGUGUUAAUGUAUGUAUUUAUGUGCAUGGGUGUGAUGUGUGUUUGUGUUGUGUGUAUAUGUG
This 3263-nucleotide small RNA is filed under the name Rattus norvegicus (Norway rat). RNAcentral describes it as "uncharacterized LOC102553542". The record is from RNAcentral. Lineage: Eukaryota; Metazoa; Chordata; Mammalia; Rodentia; Muridae.